RNAcentral lists this ribosomal RNA (446 nucleotides) under uncultured bacterium. Its description in RNAcentral is "partial 16S ribosomal RNA". It matches the Rfam family "Bacterial small subunit ribosomal RNA", at positions 338 to 795 of the family's 1533-position model. The record is from RNAcentral.
CCUACGGGUGGCAGCAGUCGAGAAUCAUUCACAAUGGGGGAAACCCUGAUGGUGCGACGCCGCGUGGGGGAAUGAAGGUCUUCGGAUUGUAAACCCCUGUCAUGUGGGAGCAAAUUAAAAAGAUAGUACCACAAGAGGAAGAGACGGCUAACUCUGUGCCAGCAGCCGCGGUAAUACAGAGGUCUCAAGCGUUGUUCUGAAUCACUGGGCGUAAAGCGUGCGUAGGCUGUUUCGUAAGUCGUGUGUGAAAGGCGCGGGCUCAACCCGCGGACGGCACAUGAUACUGCGAGACUAGAGUAAGGGAGGGGGAACCGGAAUUCUCGGUGUAGCAGUGAAAUGCGUAGAUAUCGAGAGGAACACUCGUGGCGAAGGCGGGUUCCUGGACAUUAACUGACGCUGAGGCACGAAGGCCAGGGGAGCGAAAGGGAUUAGAUACCCCAGUAGUC